RNAcentral lists this transfer RNA (85 nucleotides) under Felis catus (domestic cat). It matches the Rfam family "tRNA". Rfam says of the family: Transfer RNA (tRNA) molecules are approximately 80 nucleotides in length. Their secondary structure includes four short double-helical elements and three loops (D, anti-codon, and T loops). The record is from Rfam by way of RNAcentral. RNAcentral also lists the same sequence under 1 other name. Lineage: Eukaryota; Metazoa; Chordata; Mammalia; Carnivora; Felidae.
GCCUGGGUGGCUCAGUCGGUUGAGCAUCCGACUUUGGCUCAGGUCAUGAUUUCACAGGACGUGAGUUCGAGCUCCACAUCAGGCU